AAAAUAUCCUUUCAAUUUUAUUCAACCAAUUGUAUUCUUCAUAUUAUAAAAUAAUAUCAAAUAAUGCCACGGAAUUCUAGCAAAUCUUGUCUGCUAAAUCAACUAGUGCAGGCCACAGCCACAUGGCAUAGCCAGAUCAGGGCCUAACACAGAGUAUGCUACCCUGUUCUGAAAUAGACCACAUUUUCUUCAUGUCAUGUUUCUUUAGACCUGUCUAAAAUAAAUAAUGGAUUUAUUGUGAUGGUGUAGGCUAUAUUACAUGGAUUUAUUGUGAAGGUGUAGGCUAUAUUACAUGGAUUUAUUGUGAAGGUGUAGGCUAUAUUACAUGGAUUUAUUGUGAAGGUGUAGGCUAUAUUACAUGGAUUUAUUGUGAAGGUGUAGGCUAUAUUACAUGGAUUUAUUGUGAUGGUGUAGGCUAUAUUACAUGGAUUUAUUGUGAUGGUGUAGGCUAUAUUACAUGGAUUUAUUGUGAAGGUGUAGGCUAUAUUACAUGGAUUUAUUGUGAUGGUGUAGGCUAUAUUACAUGGAUUUAUUGUGAAGGUGUAGGCUAUAUUACAUGGAUUUAUUGUGAAGGUGUAGGCUAUAUUACAUGGAUUUAUUGUGAAGGUGUAGGCUAUAUUACAUGGAUUUAUUGUGAAGGUGUAGGCUAUAUUACAUGGAUUUAUUGUGAAGGUGUAGGCUAUAUUACAUGGAUUUAUUGUGAAGGUGUAGGCUAUAUUACAUGGAUUUAUUGUGAAGGUGUAGGCUAUAUUACAUGGAUUUAUUGUGAAGGUGUAGACUAUAUUACAUGGAUUUAUUGUGAAGGUGUAGGCUAUAUUACAUGGAUUUAUUGUGAAGGUGUAGGCUAUAUUACAUGGAUUUAUUGUGAAGGUGUAGGCUAUAUUACAUGGAUUUAUUGUGAAGGUGUAGGCUAUAUUACAUGGAUUUAUUGUGAAGGUGUAGGCUAUAUUACAUGGAUUUAUUGUGAAGGUGUA
Molecule: long non-coding RNA, 974 nt
Organism: Oncorhynchus keta (chum salmon)
Lineage: Eukaryota; Metazoa; Chordata; Actinopteri; Salmoniformes; Salmonidae
Exons: 3
Source: RefSeq, a predicted model, not a curated record